CCUACGGGAGGCAGCAGUGGGGAAUAUUGCACAAUGGGGGAAACCCUGAUGCAGCGACGCCGCGUGAGUGAAGAAGUACUUCGGUAUGUAAAGCUCUAUCAGCAGGGAAGAAGAAAGACGGUACCUGACUAAGAAGCACCGGCUAACUACGUGCCAGCAGCCGCGGUAAUACGGAGGGGGUGCGCGUUAUCCGGAUUUACUGGGUGUAAAGGGAGCGUAGGCGGAGAAGCAAGUCUGAAGUGAAAGCCCGUGGCUUAACCGCGGGACUGCUUUGGAAACUGUUUGACUAGAGUGCGGGAGAGGUAAGUGGAAUUCCUGGUGUAGCGGUGAAAUGCGUAGAUAUCAGGAGGAACACCGGUGGCGAAGGCAGCUUACUGGACCGCAACUGACGUUGAGGCUCGAAAGCGUGGGGAGCAAACAGGAUUAGAUACCCGAGUAGUC
Molecule: ribosomal RNA, 441 nt
Filed under: uncultured bacterium
Lineage: Bacteria
Description: partial 16S ribosomal RNA
Rfam family: Bacterial small subunit ribosomal RNA
Source: RNAcentral